Molecule: ribosomal RNA, 711 nt
Filed under: Limosilactobacillus vaginalis
Lineage: Bacteria; Bacillati; Bacillota; Bacilli; Lactobacillales; Lactobacillaceae
Description: bacterial SSU rRNA
Rfam family: Bacterial small subunit ribosomal RNA
Source: RNAcentral
GGCGCAAGCCUGAUGGAGCAACACCGCGUUGAGUGAAGAAGGGUUUCGGCUCGUAAAGCUCUGUUGUUGGAGAAGAACGUGCGUGAGAGUAACUGUUCACGCAGUGACGGUAUCCAACCAGAAAGUCACGGCUAACUACGUGCCAGCAGCCGCGGUAAUACGUAGGUGGCAAGCGUUAUCCGGAUUUAUUGGGCGUAAAGCGAGCGCAGGCGGUUGCUUAGGUCUGAUGUGAAAGCCUUCGGCUUAACCGAAGAAGUGCAUCGGAAACCGGGCGACUUGAGUGCAGAAGAGGACAGUGGAACUCCAUGUGUAGCGGUGGAAUGCGUAGAUAUAUGGAAGAACAUCAGUGGCGAAGGCGGCUGUCUGGUCUGCAACUGACGCUGAGGCUCGAAAGCAUGGGUAGCGAACAGGAUUAGAUACCCUGGUAGUCCAUGCCGUAAACGAUGAGUGCUAGGUGUUGGAGGGUUUCCGCCCUUCAGUGCCGGAGCUAACGCAUUAAGCACUCCGCCUGGGGAGUACGACCGCAAGGUUGAAACUCAAAGGAAUUGACGGGGGCCCGCACAAGCGGUGGAGCAUGUGGUCUAAUUCGAAGCUACGCGAAGAACCUUACCAGGUCUUGACAUCUUGCGCUAACCUAAGAGAUUAGGCGUUCCCUUCGGGGACGCAAUGACAGGUGGUGCAUGGUCGUCGUCAGCUCGUGUCGUGAGAUGU